This 440-nucleotide ribosomal RNA is filed under the name uncultured bacterium. RNAcentral's name for it is "partial 16S ribosomal RNA". It matches the Rfam family "Bacterial small subunit ribosomal RNA", at positions 338 to 795 of the family's 1533-position model. The record is from RNAcentral.
CCUACGGGAGGCAGCAGUAGGGAAUAUUGCUCAAUGGGGGAAACCCUGAAGCAGCAACGCCGCGUGGAGGAUGAAGGUUUUCGGAUUGUAAAAUCCUUUUGUUAGAGAAGAUAAUGACGGUAUCUAACGAAUAAGCACCGGCUAACUCCGUUCCAGCAGCCGCGGUAAUACGGAGGGUGCAAGUGUUACUCGGAAUCACUGGGUGUAAAGAGCGCGGAGGCGGGAUAGCAAGUCAGAUGUUAAAUCCUAUGGGUUAACCAUAGAACUGCAUUUGAAACUGUUAGUCUAGAGUAUGGGAGGGGUAGGUGGAAUUCUUGGUGUAGGGGUAAAAUCCGUAGAGAUCAAGAAGAAUACUCAUUGCGAAGGCGUCCUGCUAGAACAUAACUGACGCUGAUGCGCGAAAGCGUGGGGAGCAAACAGGAUUAGAUACCCCUGUAGUC